AUUGAACGCUGGCGGCAUGCCUUACACAUGCAAGUCGAACGGUAACAGGUCUUCGGAUGCUGACGAGUGGCGAACGGGUGAGUAAUACAUCGGAACGUGCCUAGUAGUGGGGGAUAACUACUCGAAAGAGUGGCUAAUACCGCAUGAGAUCUACGGAUGAAAGCAGGGGAUCGCAAGACCUUGUGCUACUAUAGCGGCCGAUGGCAGAUUAGGUAGUUGGUGGGAUAAAAGCUUACCAAGCCGACGAUCUGUAGCUGGUCUGAGAGGACGAUCAGCCACACUGGGACUGAGAAACGGCCCAGACUCCUACGGGAGGCAGCAGUGGGGAAUUUUGGACAAUGGGCGCAAGCCUGAUCCAGCAAUGCCGCGUGCAGGAUGAAGGCCUUCGGGUUGUAAACUGCUUUUGUACGGAACGAAAAGCCCCGGGUUAAUACCCUGGGAUCAUGACGGUACCGUAAGAAUAAGCACCGGCUAACUACGUGCCAGCAGCCGCAGUAA
RNAcentral lists this ribosomal RNA (498 nucleotides) under uncultured bacterium. RNAcentral's name for it is "partial 16S ribosomal RNA". It matches the Rfam family "Bacterial small subunit ribosomal RNA", at positions 30 to 523 of the family's 1533-position model. The record is from RNAcentral.